RNAcentral lists this ribosomal RNA (225 nucleotides) under uncultured bacterium. Its description in RNAcentral is "partial 16S ribosomal RNA". It matches the Rfam family "Bacterial small subunit ribosomal RNA", at positions 109 to 334 of the family's 1533-position model. The record is from RNAcentral.
AGUAACGCGUGGGUAACCUGCCUCACACAGGGGGAUAACAGUUGGAAACGGCUGCUAAUACCGCAUAAGCGCACAGUACCGCAUGGUACAGUGUGAAAAACUCCGGUGGUGUGAGAUGGACCCGCGUCUGAUUAGCUAGUUGGCAGGGCAACGGCCUACCAAGGCGACGAUCAGUAGCCGACCUGAGAGGGUGACCGGCCACAUUGGGACUGAGACACGGCCCAA